GUCCUUUGGGGUGAGGUAGUAGGUUGUAUAGUUUUAGGGUUAUACCCUGCCUGUCAGAUAACUAUACAAUCUACUGUCUUUCCUGAAGUGGCU
MicroRNA precursor from Gopherus evgoodei (Goodes thornscrub tortoise), 93 nucleotides. Lineage: Eukaryota; Metazoa; Chordata; Testudines; Testudinidae. The record is from Ensembl.